Long non-coding RNA from Chenopodium quinoa (quinoa), 1966 nucleotides. RefSeq lists it as uncharacterized. The transcript is spliced from 5 exons. NCBI's taxonomy places the organism in Eukaryota, Viridiplantae, Streptophyta, Magnoliopsida, Caryophyllales, Amaranthaceae. The record is from RefSeq and is a predicted model, not a curated record.
UACCAUUGAUUUUUUAUUUAUGUUUUUUUUAUUUAGUCUUUUGUUUUAUAUUUAUCUUAUUUAUUUAUGUUGUUUUUUCUAGAAAUGCUUAAUGGAUCUUGCAGCGUCUUCGACUAAGUUGGUGUUGGCAUACAUGGACUUUCAUGAAAAACAUGAACUAGUUGUGAAGCAUUUUCCUCACAAUGAGAAAAUACGAAAGCUGAAGGAAGAUGCAAUGGGUAUUUGUGACGAGCAAAGAUUGAGUUCUCAAGCUAUGCCAGAAAAUCAUAGCUUUUCUUUUAGCCAAGACGAUGAGUAUUGACAAGAUCCAGCCGUCAUUGAAGCUUGGGAUAGAUUUUCCAAGAUUUCUGCUAAUGAGAAGAAUGUUAAAUCCUCAGUCUUUGCUAGGGCUGGUUGUCCAACCGUAACAGGAGCCAUUGAUGUUACAAAGAUUGCGGCUGAAAGUGUUCAGAUAGCAAAUAGUCUUUCUGAAAAUGAAGGUCCUGCUAUUGUAGUUGAAACUGAAAAAGUUGUAGGAGGUUCAAGUAUUCGAUCUGGUUUGAGAUCUUCAGUUAAAAAAGGAUUUGGAACUCCUACUUUCAGUUUAGGAUUUGAUGAUCCGGAGAACUCCCCAACUAUUGUACAACCUUUAGUAGCUGUUGAUGCUGAUGUUCCUGUACGACCUUCAGUUGCUGCCGAUGCUGCCGAUGCUGAUGUUCCUUGUGCUGUGUAGGUGGUGCUGAUGUUCCUGUUUUGAAGAAGCGUAAAGUUCAACCAUCAAUGUUGCUUAGAUCACCUUUUAAGGCACGGAUUAUCAAAAUUUACACUACAUUAUCAGAAGUUCAGAAAACUGUCUUGGAAGCUCUGUUUAUUGAUGAUAAAAAUCGUUUUGAUCUAGUCUUUUUAUCCAAAGUUAAUGGAGUGCAUGAUGUUGAAGUCAUGAGAUUUCAACUUGAAAAGCUGUAUACUCACCUUAAAAUUGAUUCAGAAAUCAUUAAUGCUUGGUGUAGUAUUUUGAAUUAUAAUGAGCAAUUUAGAGACUCAAGUUCUCCUGCUCGUUUCUUUUUUAAUGUUACUGCUACUGAGUGUCUUGUUCAUUAUGAGAUUGAUUCUGUUAGUUAUCGGAAUACUAUGUUUCGUGAGGUUGCUCAAAAGUAAUACAGCCAAAAUGUUGUCCCAAAGAAGGACAUUCAACUUUUCUUCUUCCUAGUUUACGAAAUAGGUCAUUAUUUCUUGGUAUGUUUCAACACUACCACAGAGCAUGGUAAUAUUGAGGUUAUUGAUUAUAGUGAAGAUUCCGGAUAUCAUACACAACUUUUAAAACAUUUGAGAAGUGCAUUUUGCAAUUUUAUGCAAUAUGAAGGAAAUGUACAGAGCUCUGUGUUGUCAAGUGAUAUCAAGCGCAUGGAGCAUGUUACACUUGAUUCUCCUUGGAAGUCUACAGAUAAUAAUCAUUUGCACUGUGGAAUUGCAUUGAUGAGGAUUAUGGAAACAUACAUGGGUUUGUCAAAGUGGGCUUCAGGUUUGAAGAAGAAUAAUAUGAUAAUCAUGGAAAAACUUCGUGUGAAGUACACCUUGGCAAUAAUUUCAAGCGAAAUAAACACAAUUCAAUCCGUUAAAGAAAUUCCUCAAAAGAAGAAAAAGCAGAAGAAAGUUUCUCCUAAGACUGAACAAGAAAAAGUUGAAGAACAAAAGGGUGAAGAAGAAAAAGCUUAAGAUGAAAAGGCUACUUGUUAGUGUUACCUCAAUAUUUUGCUUGGUGAAGUAUUGAUUAAGGUGUUGACAUAGCUUUCUAAUUUUAGGGAAGUAGAGAAACAAUGAUUUAAUCAACUUGUAAAUUGUUAUUUUUUGAAUGAUGUAAAAAUGGUGACUUUUGAUUAUGGUGACUUUUGUGUUUACCUGAAAUACUUUGUCAUUUAUACCUACCGUUUUUUUGAACUAUUUGUUGAUUUACAAAUGAGCAACGAACUAUUUGAGCAAAUAAACA